CCAUCGGCCCUUUUCAGGACCACAAAAACAUACAUACGUAUAGAA
This is a non-coding RNA of Trichomalopsis sarcophagae, 45 nucleotides long. The record is from Rfam. NCBI's taxonomy places the organism in Eukaryota, Metazoa, Arthropoda, Insecta, Hymenoptera, Pteromalidae.